Long non-coding RNA from Trachymyrmex septentrionalis, 305 nucleotides. RefSeq lists it as uncharacterized. NCBI's taxonomy places the organism in Eukaryota, Metazoa, Arthropoda, Insecta, Hymenoptera, Formicidae. The record is from RefSeq and is a predicted model, not a curated record. The transcript is spliced from 3 exons.
AACUACUAAAUGUUUCAAUUUUCAACAUGAGGUAUUUAAAGCUUUUUUUAUUACAAUGGGCUUUCCAGACUCAUAGUGUGUUUUCGGAAUUUUUCGAAAAGUGUGUGUUUUAGGCUUAAAAAUAUCAUAAAUAUCGAAAAUGUACACAAAAGUUCAAUCAGAUAGAUGAUACAUUAGAAGAACUCGGAAUAUCAAAAGAAUAUUAUAGAAUGCAAAAUUUCACAAGACUGAUUUUGAUUGUGUGACAUAUCAAUACUAGACUGGAUAAAAUAAAUGAUUAUAUUGCACAGAUAUCAGAAAUGGAG